Molecule: unclassified non-coding RNA, 1024 nt
Filed under: Hevea brasiliensis (rubber tree)
Lineage: Eukaryota; Viridiplantae; Streptophyta; Magnoliopsida; Malpighiales; Euphorbiaceae
Source: RNAcentral
UUUAAAAUUUUCGGAACCUUAAAUAAAUUAUAAUUUCGAUAAAUGGCUUAAAUAAAUUAUAUUUCAUAAACUAUAUUCAAAACUAUGACAAAAAUUAAUUAAGGUAAAAUAGAGUGUGCCGGUACACCGUGUGACAUAUCUUACUCGGAUAUACUGUAGCCGUGUAAGGGGUGUCACAGCCUGAGUUCACUUCUUAUUCCUAAGAAAAACUAGACUUUACAUGUAUGUGGGCAGUUUUCCUUUUUGUCAUUCUCUCUUGUUAUGUGAUCCAUAAUCAUUCUAUAACAACAAAUUGUGUUCUAUCUGCUCUUCAAAGACAACAUGGAAGGUAGUUUCCCAGCUGAAAAUAAUAGUAUGUUUGACAGAAGGCCAAAAAGUUUUCACUUCCCAGUGGAAAAUACUAGUCUGUUUGAUGGAGUCAUAGGAAAGCGAAGUGGGAAGGGCAUAUGUUCUAAUUACAUUGUAUGACAUGGUCGAGAGAAAGUUUAUCUAAUAGCAUUUAACAAAGCUUCUUGAUUGCGAAGUCAACUAUAUUUAGAGAAUGAAUUUUGAAUCUGGUUAGCAAUGUCUUCAGUAUGCUUGUGAAAACUGUAUACCUAAAGAUGUUAUAAUUCAAAUUUUGGUCAUCUUAAUUUCUGGGUUUCUUUGAGCACCAGCUAUUUUCCCAUUGAAUGAUUUUACUCAUUGGAGAUUUUAGAAGUCUGAAAUUAUGAUUGAUGUCCUUAUGAAGGAAGCUAAUUGAUGAGUUGUAGCUUUUUCAGGCGAGCAAAAUCUUUAUACUGUUGUUAUUUGUUUGUGUAGCCUAAACUUAUAUUAGGACAAAAUUUCUAAUAUGAUAGCUCUCUCUUUAUACAUAUGUGCACAUUGCUAUUUUGGUUGAGACAACAACAUUCAAUUGCUAUUUACUUGUUCAUUGCAGAUGUGUUUUUAGUGCAAUAACCAAACUACUGCAAGUUCCACUGUUGGGAUUUUAUUUUCUGGUUAUAUUAUUUUCAGAUGUGAUGACUGUCCACUUCUUCUUCCU